AAAGUAAUAAAGGAUCUUAAUAGAUGUUGCAGCAAGUCUUGAGAGCUAUUUAAUUGGGGAAGCCAUGCUUUUCAGUGGUAGAUCGCUGGGCAAGUUUUACUGGUGCAGCUGUAUCUUAUUUUCAAUACAGAACCAUUUAUUUAACUAAGAGAUAAUGAUUAGUGAUAUAUAUAGCAAUUGAUCAAUCAAGUUCGUCUAUAUGAUGAAAGCAAUCAGAUCGAGUUGCAGACCGUACGUGAAGAAGUGCAGCUAGCAAGCUUGAGCUUAACUACAUAUAUCAGUGCAAAAUUAAUUUCUAAUUAGAAGCGAUUCCAGUAGUCUCCACGUACUACUGUCCACUCUAUAUAUCAUGAUCGAUCGAGAUGAUUCAAAAGGUGUGGGUUGAAUGGAGGUUUUCAGCAUUAAACAUGUUAUUAAAUAUAUUGCUUGAAGAACUGGUGCAUCCAACAAUUAAGUUCCAUUCGAUAUGAUUGCAUCAUACAUGUCUUCGUUUUCUUCGGCCAUCUCUCUCUCUCUCUCUCUCUCUCUCUCUCUCUCUCUCUCUCUCUCCAUACACAGCAGCUGCAAGCUUGAACCUUAUAUUCCCGAUUGCUUGCUAGCAAAGGCAACUAUAUAUCAAUCGAUCAUCAAUAAUGCACGAUUCAUGCAAUAAGUCGUCGAGUGUCCCUUAAUUGUGCAAUGUAAUGGAAAAUGGACCCUCUAGCUAAAUUUUAGUAAAUAUCGAUCAAACCCAAAUUUAUGAAUCGAGUAUGCUAGGCCUACUUCAUUCAGAGAAACUUUC
This 781-nucleotide long non-coding RNA is filed under the name Fragaria vesca (wild strawberry). RNAcentral describes it as "long non-coding RNA (FVES_LNC002290)". The record is from RNAcentral. Lineage: Eukaryota; Viridiplantae; Streptophyta; Magnoliopsida; Rosales; Rosaceae.